RNAcentral lists this ribosomal RNA (353 nucleotides) under uncultured Rhodocyclaceae bacterium. RNAcentral describes it as "bacterial SSU rRNA". It matches the Rfam family "Bacterial small subunit ribosomal RNA", at positions 539 to 892 of the family's 1533-position model. The record is from RNAcentral. Lineage: Bacteria; Pseudomonadati; Pseudomonadota; Betaproteobacteria; Rhodocyclales; Rhodocyclaceae.
CGUUAUUCGGAAUUAUUGGGCGUAAAGCGUCCGCAGGCGGUUGUUUAAGUCAGAUGUGAAAUCCCCGGGCUCAACCUGGGAACUGCAUUUGAAACUGUUUGACUUGAGUGUGGUAGAGGGGGGUGGAAUUCCCGGUGUAGCGGUGAAAUGCGUAGAUAUCUGGAGGAACACCGGUGGCGAAGGCGGCCCCCUGGGCCAAUACUGACGCUCAUGCACGAAAGCCUGGGGAGCAAACAGGAUUAGAUACCCUGGUAGUCCACGCCGUAAACGAUGUACACUAGGUGUUGGUGGAAUUGACCCCCUGGGUGUCGUAGCUAACGCGAGAAGUGUCCGCCUGGGAGUACGACCGAAAU